AGGGUUUGAUCAUGGCUCAGAGCGAACGUUAGCGGGAGGCUUAACACAUGCAAGUCGAGCGAGAACAGUCCUUCGGGGCUUAGUACAGCGGCGGACGGGGGAGGAACGCGUAGGUAAUCUACCCUCGGGCGGGGGACAACACUCCGAAAGGAAUGCUAAUACCGCGUAAGACCACACUCACUAAGGUGAGAGGGGUAAAAGGUGGCCUCUUCUUGAAAGCUACCGCCAAAGGAUGAGUCCGCGUAGCAUCAGCUUGUUGGUAAGGUAACGGCUUACCAAGGCUAAGACGGGUAGCUGGUCUGAGAGGAUGAUCAGCCACACUGGCACUGGAACACGGGCCAGACUCCUACGGGAGGCAGCAGUGAGGAAUAUUGGGCAAUGGGCGCAAGCCUGACCCAGCCACGCCGCGUGAGUGAUGAAGGCCUUCGGGUCGUAAAGCUCUGUGGGGAGGGACGAAAAAUUUCCAUUCGAAUAGGGUGGAGACUUGACGGUACCUCCUUAGCAAGCACCGGCUAACUCUGUGCCAGCAGCCGCGGUAAUACAGAGGGUGCAAACGUUGCUCGGAUUUACUGGGCGUAAAGCGCAUGCAGGUGGUUUGUUAAGUCAGAUGUGAAAGCCCGAGGCUCAACCUCGGAAGGUCAUUUGAAACUGGCAAACUAGAGUACUGUAGAGGGGGGUAGAAUUUCAGGUGUAGCGGUGAAAUGCGUAGAGAUCUGAAGGAACACCAGUGGCGAAGGCGACUUCCUGACCAAUACUGACGCUGAGAUGCGAAGAGCGUGGGGAGCAAACAGGAUUAGAACCCUGGUAGUCCACGCCGUAAACGAUGUCUACUUGGAGGUUGUGGCCUUGAGCCGUGGCUUUCGGAGCUAACGCGUUAAGUAGACCGCCUGGGGAGUACGGUCGCAAGAUUAAAACUCAAAUGAAUUGACGGGGGCCCGCACAAGCGGUGGAGCAUGUGGUUUAAUUCGAGGCAACGCGAAGAACCUUACCUACUCUUGACAUCCAGAGAACUUUCCAGAGAUGGAUUGGUGCCUUCGGGAACUCUGAGACAGGUGCUGCAUGGCUGUCGUCAGCUCGUGUUGUGAAAUGUUGGGUUAAGUCCCGCAACGAGCGCAACCCCUAUCCUUAUUUGCCAGCGCGUUAUGGCGGGAACUCUAAGGAGACUGCCGGUGAUCAACCGGAGGAAGGUGGGGACGACGUCAAGUCAUCCUGGCCCUUAUGGGAUGGGCUACACACGUGCUACAAUGGCAUAUACAGAGUGCUGCAAUACCGCGAGGUGGAGCGAAUCUCACAAAGCUUGUCAUAGCUCGGAUUGGAGUCUGCAGCUCGACUCCAUGAAGACGGAAUCGCUAGUAAUCGUAGAUCAGAAUGCUACGGUGAAUACUUUCCCGGGCCUUGUACACACCGCCCGUCA
RNAcentral lists this ribosomal RNA (1414 nucleotides) under uncultured prokaryote. Its description in RNAcentral is "partial 16S ribosomal RNA". It matches the Rfam family "Bacterial small subunit ribosomal RNA". The record is from RNAcentral.